This is a long non-coding RNA of Bactrocera tryoni, 291 nucleotides long. RefSeq lists it as uncharacterized. The record is from RefSeq and is a predicted model, not a curated record. The transcript has 2 exons. NCBI's taxonomy places the organism in Eukaryota, Metazoa, Arthropoda, Insecta, Diptera, Tephritidae.
CAUCAUGACGAUUGCAUAACAAACAGAACGUUCAUAAAUGCCAAUAUUGCAGCACUGCAAUAAUCAAGCGUUCAAAAACACAACACUUCUAUCAGUUGUAACUCAUAAUUUCUAUCAAAAAAUUGUUUACUGCAUUUAACUACGAUGUCUGACGAAAAUGAAAAUCUCAGUAAUGCGGAGACACAGUUAUUGCUAAGAGUGCGGUUGAAUAUGGAGGACGAGUUUAAAUCGGGUAGAAGGAAAAAAAAUGUAUUGUGGAAGAAAGUUGUGACCGAAGUUAAAAAUGUAAAU